GCCUCCUAAUUCCACUCGGUUUGUUCCGCCCCUGUUCAAAGAACUUUUAUGAAACAAUGACACGUUGGGGACGGGUACCAGCGGAAAGAUUCAGAUAUGGGCCGGGUUGGGCUGAGGUCUCGUUUUACGCUUAAGACAAGAGUCGAGAUGUCACGAUAAACAAACUUGUCAUCAUCAUCGUUAAAAAGGAUUGCGGUGUUCAGUCUUUCAAGUUCAUCCGCUAAUCUCCCGCGCCAUCUGGGAUGAGUAAACUAGGGGAAAUCCUCCCACAAAUUGCGAUAUCACCAACAACGGCUAUACCGGCUUGAUAUUUUCACGGCCCAAAAGAAAAUAGGCGAGCCGUCUGUCAUUCCGCUAGACGUCCUGCCUCUGCUAAAACCAUCUCCGUCGUCUCGUCUUUGACCAAUAAAAUGGAAUGCCACAGACAUUCUUUUUCGGAGAGGUCAGUUGGCUGGGGACUAGGUUUAAGGUAGGAUCAGUUAUCUUUCUUCUUGACAAGUCCCACAAGCACCAAUCACUUGGUGGAGCAGAACGUGUUAGAAUGGAACCCAACUAUGAUCUGGCCUUCCUAAGCUGGCAUCCAACACCGAGCGCCCUCAGUGAACCCAGAGUCCGACGUGUUUCUGCGAAGACGCCGCCAACCCAAGUUGGCGCGGCAGCUGAGAACAGCGGGAGAUUGCACAUGGUGCUGGGAAACAUGCCCAGACAAUUGUCGCAAAGGUGAAGGCCUGCUCCUCGUCGGAAAAGCAGCUUUGAAGCCGUAACCCCGCUUUGAGGCCGUGCCCGCACUUGCUGACCUCAACGUCUGGAGCGGUGGAGCCCAUGUGGCGCGCAGCUCUUCUUCAUUGAAACAUUCAAGGUGCCGCAGCCGGGCCGAGCGGGAGGAGACUAAGAACGCGUGACGGACCGCCUGUGAAGACACAACGAGACCAAAUGAACAAACUGCAUCAUUGCAACGUGGAGACACCCGAGAGUCACGAUUCGCUCUAACGGCAUUCCAACAAAACCGAACCCUGGGUAGCACGUUAGCAUGAGAUACUAAUUUUUAUCAUCCCAUGCUAACGUGUUAGCUAGCGCCUAAUCGCUCCCAGAUACAUGCUCCACGUCGACCGCAGGCACGAAACAAUGGCUCCGAAACGAGCCCGCAGACAUUAUCCGGAAGGAGAGUCGCCCUAGAUUUCGUCUCCUGGUCAGACUUUUUGCGGGUGACACAUUGCGGGCUGCGCAGGAAACUCUGGAAAGAGUGAACAACAUGCGCUGAGUCGGCCAGCCUGCGGUGCCUCAAACCCAAGUCGGACAGACGGCGGAAUGACUCACAGACGCGUGACGUCGUCCCAUUUCUGUGUAUCGCUCACGUGCCGGAACGUUUCUCUGGGAAUCCGUCCGUCAAUCCAUUUUUUUUGAGCAAUGAGUCAAAAGAAAACAAGAUUUUUCCUUUCUCAUGGCUUCUGGCUUCAAAUUUUGCAAAGCGGCCUUCAGCAGCCAGUCGAUAAGUGGCAGCCGCUGACUUGGCGACAACGCGUCAAGUCGGGCGACGUCGCUUGUGUGUGUUUUGAUUAGCACGUGUGAAAGGAGGCCCGCUCGCAAACGGACCCUGUUUAACUUCAACGCGACAACUGCUCAACUUCAACAAAUGUCAAAGGCAGAAAAUAAGGCACAUAGCUUGUAAAAAGUUAGCCGCCUUUAUACGACAACCGCGGCUACGUCUGACGGCGUCAUUUUUGGCGGUUAGGGCCGACACUUCAAACGGUGGCUCGUCGCUCUUUGUCUCUGCUUUAAUUGGCUUGAAAUCAUUUUAAAAAAAAAAAUUACUGUGAGUUAUAAACAGUGAUAAAUGUAUUUUUAGCACUGGAGGCGUUUGAUUUCUGAUCUUUGGCACGCUCAAUCAAAAAAAAAAAAAAAAUGCAUAUCUUGACGAAA
Molecule: long non-coding RNA, 1920 nt
Organism: Syngnathus typhle (broad-nosed pipefish)
Lineage: Eukaryota; Metazoa; Chordata; Actinopteri; Syngnathiformes; Syngnathidae
Exons: 2
Source: RefSeq, a predicted model, not a curated record